UUAGGAAUCUUCCACAAUGGGCGAAAGCCUGAUGGAGCGACGCCGCGUGAGGGAUGAAGGCCUUAGGGUUGUAAACCUCUAAAAGAGGGACGAUAAUGACGGUACCUCUUGAAUAGCACCGGCUAACUCCGUGCCAGCAGCCGCGGUAAUACGGAGGGUGCAAGCGUUAUCCGGAAUCACUGGGCGUAAAGGGCGCGUAGGCGGUCUGUUAAGUCCGAUGUUAAAUCCCGGGGCUCAACCCCGGAUAAGCGUUGGAUACUGGCAGGCUAGACGGUUGGAGAGNGGAGUGGAAUUACCAGUGUAGCGGUGGAAUGCGUAGAUACUGGUAGGAACACCCAUUGCGAAGGCAGCUCGCUGGACAACACGUGACGCUGAGGCGCGAAAGUGUGG
Molecule: ribosomal RNA, 390 nt
Filed under: uncultured bacterium
Lineage: Bacteria
Description: bacterial SSU rRNA
Rfam family: Bacterial small subunit ribosomal RNA
Source: RNAcentral